CGGGGGAGGCGGGAUCCUGGGCUGUGUCCCGGCGCCCUGUGCUCCGGGGCCUGCGCUGGUGGAUUCGCGCUCCCGGGCCGCAGCCCCCU
Non-coding RNA from Canis lupus familiaris (dog), 89 nucleotides. The record is from Rfam. NCBI's taxonomy places the organism in Eukaryota, Metazoa, Chordata, Mammalia, Carnivora, Canidae.